Tarenaya hassleriana is the source of this 2015-nucleotide RNA transcript. RefSeq lists it as uncharacterized. The record is from RefSeq and is a predicted model, not a curated record. NCBI's taxonomy places the organism in Eukaryota, Viridiplantae, Streptophyta, Magnoliopsida, Brassicales, Cleomaceae. The transcript has 4 exons.
UGUCAAACGGCGACGCGUUCCCCCGGUUAUUACGGUUUUGACGUCUCUCUCUCUCUCUGCAACAAGCAAGAGAACGGCUGCGGCGACGGUGAAGGCGAAGCCGACGCUCUACGUCAGCGACAAUAUGGUAUUCUUCACGGAGAUCUAACCGUAGAUGUCCUUCUUCUUCCGUCCUCGUGCUUCUCUCUCGACCAGUUUCUUCUCCGCGUUCACCGAUGGAAGCAUCUCCUGUUAUUUCUGCGGCAUCUCCGAUAGAAUUCGUUCGAUCCGGCAUAUCUGUCCAGUUCCAAGCCUAAGCGUUGUGUCGUCAUUACGGUUAUCCUUUCUCAAGGGGAUCUAUAACUGAACACCUCCUCCUGAUCUGGCAUCUUACUUGUUCGAAAGCCGAAUUGUUUAGUUGGGUGGUGAUAAGCUGGGCUAUGAGAGUGAGGAUUUGGCAGUCUAUGAUGCCACGAGAUCCUUUUGUAAAGAACGAAGCAGGUAAGAUAGUGGAGUUGUUUCAGAAUCUGAACACAUUAUGGCGUCCUGAUCCCCAGGUAAAGUGAAUUUACUGGUUUUCGUUCUCCACUAUAGCAUAUUCAUGAUGGUGUUGCUGCUUUUUGGAACAUUGAUCUCAUACCCUAUAAUCACUCAUAUCUAAUAGAAUUCAAACACCUUACACUCUAGGGGGCAUAUUCUGGAACUAGCGAGUAGAUUCUUGUCCUGUCCAUUUCUGGCCAAUUGUCCAAAGACUGGUCUUUUACUAGCAAAGAGGCACCUGUAAAAAGCUUGAUCAUUGCAUCAGUAUACAGAUCAGCUAGAAUUGAGACCCAUCAAAACGUGGUGAUGCAUAUUUUAAGCCUAUAUGUAAGUGCUCCAGUGCCUCGUGUCUUCCAGUUUUGCUUGCAUAAACCCUGUCCCACAGUUUCAAAAUAGUCACUUCCCCAUCUUCCUCUAUUGCUUCGGACCCAUAUUUAGUUAGUGGUAUCAUUUUCAUUGCCCAUUAUAACAGCCUUCUCUAGCAUCAUCCGACACAUGUCCAAGGAUUUUGCAUGCUCAUUUGAACCUUUUUUUAGUCCUAAAUUCGUGGUUUUUGUACCUUAUUUAAUCUCAUGCUCGUAUUUUUGUUUUUUAUAUAAAUUUAGACAUAUUAGACUGCGAUUUUGAUGAUAGGAUAUAGAUACUCCAUGGUUUUUCAGCUUUUAUGUUACUUUCUUUGCACAAACUAGGGGACAUUUCGUUUCUCAAUCAAAAUUUUGCUCGUGUUUAAGUAGGCACAGAAUUGCAAGUUCAUAUAAACCGGUUAGUGUGGGAUUAUAUAGACAUGAGUCGGGCUUAAACACACUUUUUUGUUGGCACACGAGAGUUAUAAAAAUUCAAGGGCUGUUAGACCGGUAAGGGAUGGGCAAAGCUCUUAUCAAGGUUCAAGUCUCCACUUAAGGAGAGACAUUCAGCUGGACCUCUUCGGUCCUUUGGAAGCUGUAGUUGGAUCGAAAGCACGGUGAACCUGCAGAUUAUAAAACAAAACUUUCUUUUUUUGAAUCGCGAGUGAUUUACUGUUUGUCUGGUAAAUGGCAAGGAAUUGAUUGUUUGUAUCGGUUUUGGUCGGAUGAUGCAGAGUUGAACUGAACCAUAUGCAUACAGAUACGGAAAGAACCAAUGAGGUAACAUCAUUGAACGUAUGUUUUUCGUAUAUUUGAUGUCUUUAGGGUAUCUCAGGAACAGAGAUUGGUCUUUUUUUGGGCUCGGUUUGGUCUGAAUUAUAUUGUGUAUAUUAUAAUCAGGUUGUCGUGUAUAUAUAUAUAUAUAUAUAUAAUUGGACCGUAGGUUGAGGUUUAUGUAGGCCAUAGAAGAGCAAGAACUCACCAACCCCAAUAUCUUCGGCCUUCUAUUAAAAACUCACACUUGGAACUUGGAAGUGGAUCACAACCCCCUAGUCUUUAUUUCUUUAUUUAUUUUGGUAAUACGUGAUUUAAUAGCAUUUUUGAGAUAUAGAUUACUCUAUGAUUCUUUUGUGCUAUGUAUUAUUAUUAUUA